RNAcentral lists this transfer RNA (59 nucleotides) under Reticulinasus faini. Its description in RNAcentral is "tRNA-Leu". The record is from RNAcentral. Lineage: Eukaryota; Metazoa; Arthropoda; Arachnida; Ixodida; Argasidae. RNAcentral also lists the same sequence under 1 other name.
UCUAUUUUGGCAGAUUAAUUGUGUCAAAUUUAGAAUUUGAAAAUGACUAUGUCAAAUAG